ACCUCAUUGCAACCUCCAUCUCCCAGGUUCAAGCUAUUCCCCUGCCUCAGUCUCCUGAGUAGCUGGUUUUAUAGGUGCAUGCUGCAACCACACCCUGCUACGUUUUUGUAUGUUCAAUAGAGACAAGGUUUCACCAUGUUGGCCAGGGUGAUCUUGAAGUCCUGACCUCAGGUGAUUCUCCUGCCUCUGCCUCCCAAAGUGCUGGGAUUAUAGUUGUGAGCCACCGCACCCAGCAAUUAACUUAUUUUUAUCUGUUAAAAUCAUUAUAAACAUGAUAGAACCAUUAGUAAACACAAAUGAGAAUAAACAGAAUUUAAAAAUAAUCCAUAGUCAUAGUUCUCUGUAUUACAACCACUUUAACAUGGAUACAUCUUUAAAACAAAAAUAAGAUGAGACAUUUAAUGUCACAUUUCUGCCUAGCUGCUUUUAGGACAAAUAUUGGAGAACUGGCUACAUUAAAUCCAUACUUUGAAAAGCAGGUUUGGGUAGUUUUAAGGCAUAUGCAAUUCCUAAGAAUCCUCAAUUUUUGAAAAAUUGAAUACCUAUUUAUAAAUAGUAAUGUUCAACAAUACCUUAUUUGUAAGUUUUUCAAAUCUAUACUAGUACUAUGUACUGAACUAUUAUUUCUGUGAAUUAUUAAGUUGCCUAAUACUUUUAGCUUAUUCAUCCUGAGGACGAUUCAGUUUUUAAUCAUUUCUUUUCUUCCCCUUCCACAGAAAAGAAAAGGAGGUAACUGAGCAAGGCAACAAGCCUCUUGUUUGGCAGCAAGCUUUUAGCAGAAAAUUGCUGUCUACACAAGUGGUAUCAACUGUCAUUACACCUGCUUGCAAAUAUGAAGACAGGCAAGGGCAUGAUCAGUCAAUCUGGUUAUUGACUUCAGGUAUCUCACUUCAGAGGUGAUUGCAAUUUCACCAAGUGUCCCAGCCAUGUGUGAAAACUAUGUUUUAAGGAACUCUGCGACCAAUAAUAAGUUACAUGAGAACAUUGCUUUGAAAGUUUCUGAAGAUUCCACAGGCAAUGAGAAUAUGAGCUGUGAUUCUAGCCCCCUCAACUAGCAUUUGCAACCAUUCUUUUAAAUUCUAUUGUCAAAUUUCGAGUAUCACAUUAUAGUUUUUCUAACAGUAGCAAAUUACAGAAAAGAAGAUCUUACUUUUGACUUUUAAACAGCAAUUAAGCAUUUGCCUAUAAAAUUCUAAAUUUGCUUCCUUUAUGGUAAGGUCUGCUUGGUUGAAUUAGCUAAAAACGUGUACUUAUUCAUAUACUGACUUCCAGAACAGUUCAAGGGAUCUUUUGCAUUAUGUACUUGUAGAUAUAUGAGAUUUAGAGAAAAAGUAAAAGCUGAGUCAGUCAUUAUUGCACUCAUUUUGUGAUUAUAAAUUUGCUUGGAGGUCUAGGGAGUAAAAGUUUUAAUACAAUUGAUAGCCCAGCUUAUUUAAAGAAACAACAGGUCUAUGGCUUUGUGCACUAGGCUUAGCAUGAAGUUUGCACUGCUUUCUGAUGUCAAUACUUGUUAUUAUCUUUGUGAUUAAAUCCAGUUUCCAUUUAUCAUCCAAACCAGGCAAUCAGUAACUUUACAUUUCUCUUCCAUUACCUUCAAAGGAGUAUUUUGUGAAUCCUCCAUUUACUUAUCUACAUUUUCAAAUGCCCUGAUUCACUCCUCAACCUGUCCAUAUCUCAUGAGGGUGAGCACAAAAAUAAAUAAGGCCAGAAAGAAUGGAGGUUUAUAAUUAUACAGUGUAUUAUACAGUGUAUUGACCUUUGGAGUGGUGUUUUCUAAAUUAUUAUUUGUGUGUGUGUGUGUGUGUGUGUGUGUGUGUGUGUGUGUGUGUUUCAAUUAAAGAUUCAGACAAAGGAAGAAUCCUGGACUUGCUUUUCAUGUCAUCUCCACGAAGAUGUUAAGAAGAGCUGCUCUGCACCCAUCCUGUUUGUAAAAACAACCUUCCCAGAGGAACCCCAGACCAUUAUUGUUCUCCCCUGUUCCUGCUGAUAAUUGAUUCAGGAAGCUUUCUUGAAGAAUGAGGGGUUCUAUUUCAUUAUUACUACUGCUGAAUAUGUUACACAUGAAUUGUAAAAAAUUUGAAUGCAAUAAAAUGAAUAGCAGUACAACUAUAAUGAAUAUAAUUUAGGCCUUCAGGGUACAGAAUUUGCAGUGCUGCAAACAUUCAUUUUGAACAUCAAUGAUAAUUACAUUGUAGCUAUAAAAAUAUAGAAAACGGACUGAAAUGACCUUCCUUCUGUAAUACUCUGCAAGUUGUUUGAUAAAAGGAAUUCUAUCACUUGUCUGUUUCAUAUGUCGGGGAAGAUGGAGGUAAGGGUGUGGGGAAUGGGCGACAAUGAGAGGAGGGCAGAUGGGAGUGUGGGAUGUAGCUCUUUAUUUUGUAAUUGUGUUAUAGUGUAUAAGAAAUAGUGAUGUUAGUAAGCUUCAGCAAGGACCCACCAUAAAUGUAAGUAGAGGCAGGGACAGAGACGAGGACACUGAAACAAGUUAUAUGGUCUCAGUAAUGGGACAAUGCCACUUUGUUCUCUUUUUUUCAGAGAAUGCAAGUCAAACAAUAAGUGGAAGACUCUCAAGCUUAUUCACCCAGAUCAUGACAUGAAGAUAUUCAAUGCGUACUUCCGGAGUACAUGAACAGAUGGAUAGAAGAAUUCUAAAUGCUGGAGGAUUUGCAGAGAGCAGGAAUGCAGCAGCCGAAGUCAAACCGGAACCAUCCUCUGCGUCAUGAUAACUGCUUUCACCACCUACUCAAGCAUGGGCUGCACAUCUUCAGGAGGUGCUCUUCCGCCUGUGGAGCAAGACACUGAAAGAAAGAUUACUGCUCAUUGACAAAUUCACCUGGUCACUCAAGAACUCUGAUGGAGAGGUAUAGGUAUGUGAAUGUUGUUUUUAUGCCUGCAAACAUGACAUUCAUUCUGCAACCCAUGAAUCAAGGAAUAAUUUUAACUUUCAAGUCUUAUUAUUUAAGAAGCAAAUUUUGUGAAGCUAUAGGUGCUAUAGAUAUUGUUUCCUUCUGGAAAGGAUUCAGCAUUCUAGAUGUUGUUAAGAACAUUUGUGGUUCAUGGGAGGAGGUCCAAAUAUUGACAUUAGCAGGAGUUUGGAAGAAAUUGGUUUUAACCUUUAUGGAUGACUGAGGAGUUUGAAACUUCAGUGGAGAAAGCCACUGCAGAUAUGAUGAAAAUAGAACUAUAAUUAAAAAUGCAGCCUAAAAAUGUGACUGAAUUACCAUAAUCUUAUAAUAAAAUCCAAAUGGACAAAGAAUUUAUUCUAGUAGAUAAGCAAAUAAACUGAUUUUCUGAGAUGGAAAAUACUCCUGGUGAGGAUGCUAUGAACUUUGUUGAUAUGACAACCAAGGAUUGAGAGUAUUACAUGAACUUAGUUGAGGAAGUAGCAGCAGCGGUUGAGAGGAUUGACUCCAAUUUUGAAAGGAAUGCUACUGUGGGUAAGAUACUAUCAAACAGCAUUGCAUACUGCAGAGAAAUCUUUCAUGAAAGAAAGUAAUCAAGUUGGCAAAUUUCCUUGCUAUCUUUUUUUAAUUUUUAUUUUUGAGACCCAGUAGCCAGAUGUAGCUACUAAUUACAAAAGACAGGAUCUACAUUGGCUACUGAGCCUUCCUUGCUGUCUGAAUGUAAGAAAUUGCCACAGUCACCCCAGCCGUUAACAACUACCACCCUGAUUAGUCAGCAGCCAACCACAUUGAGGCCAGACCCUUCAACCAGCAAAGAUUGCGACUCGCUGAAGGCUCAGUAGGAUUUCCAGCUCCUAGAAGCCAGAGAUCAUGUUACUCAUUCUUUUGCAUCCUUCCCAGGGUCUAGUGGAGCACUGAGCAUCAUGUGAGUAGCCUAUAAACAAUUGUUGAGUCUUGUUGAAUUGAACUUAAAAUGUCCACAUUCCUCGUGCUAAUCAAAGAAGUAAUGAAAAAUUCCCCUGCUCUCUGCAGUCUGACUAUUUCCAGAAGUAAUUAUUAUCAGACUAACAUUACAGGGAAGGAAAAGCCAAAGAUCAAUGCAAAGUAGUACAAAGAAACGUCAAAAGAAAAACAAUUUGCCUUUAACCCAGUCCUGUCUGAGCUGCAGAAAGGGGAUAUUUGGUGAAUGUUUGGUAAAUGUUACAACACCCGUGGUCUCUUGUGAUUGUCACAUGUACCAGAAGCAUAGAGCAGACAGAUUUUUAAAUAUAUAUAUAUUUAUUUAAAGUUUGAAGUUCUAAUAAAAAGUUCUGUGUUUAUUUCAUACCAUUUCUUUGAUGUUUUAGUAAGCUGGUGUGUGAAAGUAAUUUUCCACAUCUAUGACUAAUUUCUAAAUAUUGAUUCAGUGCUUUAGACAUUGGAUUUUACUAUGCAAUCUCCUCCCUCUUGUAAAGCUUGUGAGUGUCAUGUGCAGGAAGAAAGGCAGGGAGAACAGUAUCUUCUGUGCACUUAAUCAGUAUCACAUGGGCUUCCUUGAUCUAGUGGGCUUGGGUUCCCUAUUUUAAAACUGCCCUCUUAUUUUUCUAGACGAUGCAUUUACUAGCUUCUAGUUUUUAAAAUCAUCUCGCUAAUUUCUUGUUUUUAUAGUUAAAUUAUUAAAUCUUUCACUUUAUACUUUCUUGUGUCUUUCCCAGUGUCUAGCAGAGUCAUAAGCAACUUGUUUAUAUUCAAUAUACAAUUGUUAAAUCAUGUUGACUUGAAUUUAAAAUUGAAAAGGAAUUUUAAAAUGUGAAAGUUUUGCACAGGAUCUAUUGAAUAAUAUUAUAAAAUGGUUAAAUGGUUAAGCAAAAUAGCAAUUUUACCCAAACUGGGCUGGGCAUUACAUAUAUAUAUGCACAUAUAUAUUUGUGUGUGUGUGUAUAUAUAUAUAUAUAUGUAUACACACACACACACACACACACACAGCCAGGCCUUGGCUAUUUCCUGUAACAUUUGUCUUAUAUAUGCUAUCUAAAGAUGUCUCUGGAAAAACACCAAGAACAUUUUUAAAAGUGUUUGAAAUUUUUUGUUGUGUAAGAACAAAAAAUUUAGGUAGUACUGUCUGGAAUCUAUUUUUUUUCUGUUACUUUAGCUUUUUAAAAAACAUUUUAUGUUUAUUUUAAGUUCUGGGGUUCAUGUGCAGGAUGUGAGGUUUGUUACACAGAUAAACAUGUGCCGUGGUGGUUUGCUGCAUCUAUCAACUCACAAUCUAGGCAUUAAGCCCAGCUUGCAUUAGCUAUUUUUCUAAUGCUCCCUCUCACCUCACCCCAUCUCCCAAUAGGCCGCAGUGUGUGUUGUUCCCCACCCUUUGUCCAUGUGUUCUCAUUGUUUGGCUCCUACUUGUAAGUGAGAAUGUGCAGUGUUUGGUUUUUUGUU
Cebus imitator (Panamanian white-faced capuchin) is the source of this 5318-nucleotide long non-coding RNA. RefSeq lists it as uncharacterized. The transcript has 5 exons. NCBI's taxonomy places the organism in Eukaryota, Metazoa, Chordata, Mammalia, Primates, Cebidae. The record is from RefSeq and is a predicted model, not a curated record.